UACGGGGGGGGCAAGCGUUGUUCGGAAUUACUGGGCGUAAAGGGCCAGUAGGCGGCCAACUAAGUCAUACGUGAAAUCCCUCAGCUUAACUGGGGAACUGCGUGUGAUACUGGAUGGCUUGGAUUUGGGAGAGGGAUGCGGAAUUCCAGGUGUAGCGGUGAAAUGCGUAGAUAUCUGGAGGAACACCGGUGGCGAAGGCGGCAUCCUGGACCAAUAUUGACGCUGAGGAGCGAAAGCCAGGGGAGCAAACGGG
RNAcentral lists this ribosomal RNA (253 nucleotides) under uncultured bacterium. RNAcentral describes it as "partial 16S ribosomal RNA". It matches the Rfam family "Bacterial small subunit ribosomal RNA", at positions 524 to 776 of the family's 1533-position model. The record is from RNAcentral.